This 116-nucleotide ribosomal RNA is filed under the name Pteropus alecto (black flying fox). The record is from RNAcentral. Lineage: Eukaryota; Metazoa; Chordata; Mammalia; Chiroptera; Pteropodidae.
GACUGCUUUCACCAUCCUGAACGUGCCUGAUCUCGUCUGAUCUCGGAAGCUAAGCAGAGUCUCGCUAUGUUAGUACUUGGAUGGAUACCACCUAGGAAUACCAGGCAUUGUAGGCU